Molecule: ribosomal RNA, 454 nt
Filed under: Blastocystis sp.
Lineage: Eukaryota; Bigyra; Opalinata; Blastocystidae
Description: SSU rRNA
Rfam family: Eukaryotic small subunit ribosomal RNA
Source: RNAcentral
AAAUCACAAUGCGGAACAAUGUUUUGCAAUUGGAUUGAGAACAACGUACAAACCUUAUCGAUAAACAAUUGGAGGGCAAGUCUGGUGCCAGCAGCCGCGGUAAUUCCAGCUCCAAUAGCGUAUAUUAACGUUGUUGCAGUUAAAAAGCUCGUAGUUGAAAUGAAGGGUAGUUGUGUAAUGAAUACAUUCGUGUAUUUUGUUAUUCUACUACCCUCCUUCUAAAUUCGAUAUAUGAGUAUUAAUUUACUUGUAUAUGGUUUUAGACCUUUACUGUGAGAAAAUUAGAGUGUUCAAAGCAGGCAUUUGCUUGAAUAUAUUAGCAUGGAAUAAUCAUGUAUGAUUUUCAUGAUGUAUUUGAUUGGUUUGGUUCAUGAGAAUAAGAUUAAAAGGGACAGUUGGGGGUAUUCAUAUUCAAUAGUCAGAGGUGAAAUUCUCGGAUUUAUGGAAGAUGAAC